This 1805-nucleotide small RNA is filed under the name Arabidopsis thaliana (thale cress). RNAcentral's name for it is "ATSL100760". Lineage: Eukaryota; Viridiplantae; Streptophyta; Magnoliopsida; Brassicales; Brassicaceae. The record is from RNAcentral.
AGUUAUAUUUUGUGAUCAUAUUAAAAAAUAUAACUGAAAAUGAACAUCAGUAAUCAAGAAUAACUAGUCCUACUAUAUUAUUGGGAGAUUUGCAAAACUACCCUUUUUUUAAUACCCUUUUGCAACCAUACCCUUUUAUAUUGUUCAUUUUUAAAAAUAUCCCUUCCCUUGAACAGAAUGACCAAAUUACUCUUAUCUAAUAAGAAAAUGAAAUUGGAAACUGAAAGUUUCCCGCCGAAUUUUUGUCGCUAAAAUUUUUUUUUCCCGCCAAAAAAAACAUUUCCGCCAAAAAAUUUUCUCGUAAAUUUUUUUUCCCAGCCAAAAAAAUGCUUUUAAAAAUCCUUGUAAAUUUUUUAAAAGCUUUGAUAGUUGAUAAAAACUCUUGUAAAUCAUUUUAAAACCUCUUAAAAUCUUUAUAAAGUCUUUAAAAACAUAGGUAAAUACUUUAAAACCUCUUUUUAAACCUUUGUAAAUCAUUUUAAAACUUUUUACAAUAGUUUUACAAGAUUUACAAUCGUUUUUUAAGCAUAAGUAAGUGGCAUUGAAUGAUUUACAAGGGAUUUUAAAAGCUUAUAAAAGGGUAAAACAUGAUUUACAAUCGUUUUAAAGCAUAAGUAAGUGGCAUAAAAUGAUUUACAAGGGAUUUAAAAAGGGUUAGCAUGGUUUACAAUCGUUUUUAAGCAUAAGUAAGUGGCAUUGAAUGAUUUACAAGGGAUUUUAAAAGCUUAUAAAAGGGUAAAACAUAAUUUACAAUCGUUUUUAAAACAUAAGUAAGUGGCAUUGAAUGAUUUACAAGGGAUUUUAAAAGCUUAUAAAAGGGUAAAACAUGAUUUACAAUCGUUUUGAAAACAUAAGUAAGUGGCAUAAAAUGAUUUACAAGGAUUUUUAAAAAGGGUUAGCAUGGUUUACAAUGUUUUUUUAAGCAUAAGUAAGUGACAUUGGAAUGAUUUACAAGGGAUUUUAAAAGCUUAUAAAAGGGUAAAACAUGAUUUAUAAUCGUUUUAAAAGCAUAAGUAAGUGGCAUAGAAUUAUUUACAAGGGAUUUUAAAAGUCGUUUUAAAGCAUAAAUAAGUGGCAUUGAAUAAUUUACAAGGGAUUUUAAAAGGGGUUAACAUGAUUUACAAUCGUUUUUAAAUCAUAAGUAAAUAUCAAAGAAUGAUUUACAAGGGAGUUUAAAAAGGGUUUGCAUGGUUUACAAUCGUUUUUAAAGGAUAAGUAAGUGGUAUAGAAUGAUUUACAAGAAUUUUAAAAGCUUAUAAAAUGGUAAAACAUGAUUUACAAGAGUUUUUAAAGAGUUUUAAAAAGAUUUAUAAGGAUUUUAAACCUUUGUAAAUCCUUUUAAAACUAUUAUAAAGUCUUUACAAGCAGUUUUUAACUCUUAGAAAAAGAAUUGUAAGUAAACAACAUUUACAACUCUUUUUCAACCAUUUUAAAACUCUUGCGAACUUUUACAAAAGGUUUUAUAAAGAUUUACAAGAGUUUUUAAAGGGUUUUUUUAUAAAUUCUUUUAAAAUCUUUUAAAAACUCUUGUACAUCUUUUAAAACCAUUUAAAAAAUCCCUUGUAAAUAUUUUAAAAUACUUGUAAACCCUUUAAAAAUCUUUAAAAAACUCUUGUAAAUCUUUUAAAACCCUUUAAAAUCUCUUGUAAAUCUUUUAAAACCUUUUUAAAAUCCCUUGUAAAUCUUUUGAACCCUUUUAAAAUCUCUUGUAAAUCUUUAAAAAAAUUUUAAAACCCUUUUAAAAUCCCUUGUAAAUCUAUUUCCCGCCAAAAAAAAACUUUAACGGAAAAAAUAUUUACGAAAUU